GCCAGAUGGACGCCGUCUCCUGGCUCGUGGGCGGCAGUUAGCGGGCUUCAUUUGAGGAAACUGAGUUGCUCCUCCGUCGCUUCCCCGAGAGAAGAGUUGGGCACAUAACUUCUCAGCCUCCCUUGCAGUUAGGUUGGAAUUAUGUGACCAGUUCUGGGUAAUGGACCAUGAAUGGGAGUGACAUGUGCUCCUCCAUCCCUCUCCUCCCAACACAACAGCCUUUAAAGCUGUUUGUUCCAGAUGGAGUUGCUACAAGAGAGUGGAGAGUCACCUGGCCCAAAUCGAACUUCAUAAUGCCUCUCUAGCCUAACUACUGCAAUUGCUGCUACUGCCGGUUCUAGCUGCGGCAAUACACUGCCUUAGCUGCUAUCUGGGGAUGAAGAAGUGACCACCAAAAUUACUGGAUGCCUGACCAUGCUCUGCUGCCAGAUCAUCACUAGCAAAAUGGAUGUGUCCCAUGCCGCUGCCUCUCUCCCACUUAAUUCAGUUCGAAACUCAAGCCACACACCUGUGCAUUUCAUGGGAUGAAUUUCAUAAACAUCUGUAACGGUAGCUGCAAAGGGGUCUCGGAAGUGUAGUUUUUAGCAUUGGUACCCCAGCGGAUGGAACAGAUUAAGGUGAACUAAGUUUUUCUAGGGAAACUAAGUAAUUCUCUCAGGACUGUUCUACUCUCAUAGAAUUGGGAGAUAUCAUGUAGAAGCCAUAGAAUGCUCAGAGAAGUGGCUUGCCAGCAUCUCUCCCUUCCAGUGGUGAUAACUAUGAAUCUCACUGCUUAUUUUAACCAUACAGUGCCUUUCUAAACAUCUCUGUCAAUCAGAUGAAGUCUGAAUAUUCAGUGGCCUAUUAUUCUAUUGUCAGGAGACCACAUGUGAUACAGAAUGUACUAGUAUGAGGCUUCGAAUGUGCCAUUUCAUACCACUUUCCCAUUUUGAGGAGUUCUACUUCCCUUUUUCAAAGAAAAAGUCAAAACUUUCCAAUUAACCUUGGUAGAGAGCACCCUAUGUCACAGUGUCCAGAAGAAUACUUACUUAUUGAGCACCCACUGUGUACCAGACUCUGUUCAGGGUGCUAGGGAUACAAUAGUGAUGAGAAUAACAACCUGGUUUAUAAGGUUCUUACCUUCUGGAGACUUUAUGUCAUAAAAGAUUUUCUGCUUUUGAUAAAGUAAAUGAAUAUGGCUAUGAAAGACAUCUGAAAAAUCAUAAUCUCUUAUUCCAUAAUCCAAGGUGACUUUACUAAAAAGAGAUCCUUGAAAGGAGGUGCAAAGCAGACAUGAGUGCUGGCCUUGGGAAGUAGGAAAGGUGCUCUUUUUAAAAGUUUUGCUAAGUCUCUACUGCAGACAUUGUUGGUCCCCACUCAUCCCUUUGACCUACCCAAAAGAUCACUUGCAGAUAGUGCCUGUAAAUACCAAAGGCUUCCUAUGUCUCUCCUGGGGCUUUCUCUGGCUGUGCUAACUGUCAGGGAGUCAAUGCCCUAGGGUGUUACUCUUUUUAAAGGAUAAUUUUCCCAAAAAAAAGGUAAAAUCAUGACUUUCAUACAAAAAUAAAAUGAACAAGUGUCAAAAAUUUUAUUUAAAUCACUGUGUGAUGAGGUAACUAAUAAGAUGUUCCAACCGGUUCAAAGGAGAAUUCAAAGCACCACUCGUAUAUGUGAAGACAAACAAUGCUGAGAUGAAUUUACAGAUAGAAGCAAAACUGGUCAAUAUCCACAGGUAAUAGUCAAUUGUAUUCACUGCAUGUCUAUGGAUAAGAAUUAUCUGCAUUACUAUCUAUUUUCUACAACUUAGACUUAUAAAAUAACAAUGGACAAUGAAAGACAAAGCUCGCCUGGAUAAAUGGGCUAGGUGAAACAUCCACUAAUAGUUCAAACUCAUUCACAAUUUUUUCAGACAUUUUCAACCAAUGAGGAAUAGGAUU
Long non-coding RNA from Diceros bicornis minor, 1916 nucleotides. RefSeq lists it as uncharacterized. The record is from RefSeq and is a predicted model, not a curated record. The transcript has 3 exons. NCBI's taxonomy places the organism in Eukaryota, Metazoa, Chordata, Mammalia, Perissodactyla, Rhinocerotidae.